Gasterosteus aculeatus aculeatus (three-spined stickleback) is the source of this 925-nucleotide long non-coding RNA. Lineage: Eukaryota; Metazoa; Chordata; Actinopteri; Perciformes; Gasterosteidae. The record is from Ensembl.
CAGAGCUUCAUUCCAAAACUGCUGCAGAGUAAGCCUCAUAUUUGCUCUCCGUGGCCACUCUGCCUGCUUGGCUUUCAGUGGCCUGCAGACUUUAAAAGCAUCCACCACACACUCAGCUGUCUACUUUCUGUCUCCUUUCCUCCCCGCUGGUUGAUCUCAUGCCAGUCAAUUGCUGCUUUCUAAAGCCGCCAAGAGAAUCAGAAUGUUUGGAUUUAACUCUGGAUAACUUUCCUGCAGCGGUCAUCAUUACAUAAACUACCAGCGUUGCAGCUUUGCAUCCAAUGUGCUCACGAUGAGUCGGAAACAUGCACUGCAGGAACUGGAGUUCAACAGCACGCAGUGAGCAGCGAGGCGACCUGGAUCGAUUCAGCAGCCGUCCUCGUCUCUCUCUGAGAACAACCUGGUGCCAGUUCUAUGACGCUGGAUCACAUGGGGGGGCGGAGGACGCCGAAGUGGUUACCCCCCCCCCCCCCCCCCCCCCACACACACUUUGAGAAUCAUCUGCGUCUCAAUGAAACAAAGCGCCGGCUGAAAUUGGGAUUGUGAAGCUGUGAGUGUGUCUGGAGAUGGCGAGCGGGAGACUGAGGCAGCUCAGCCCUCGUGUGCCGUGGAUACGAACUCCACCUCGCUAUGGUUACUGGCAGCCAAACAGCAGUCAACAGUGCAGCGAACCGGAGGCGAUCCGUCGCCUGCCAGACCAAACUCCAUUUGAGCGAGCUCGUAUCUGCUCUGCAUCAACCCCUGCAGCACACGGCACAUUUUUCACCCUUAGGAUUGAAUUCUAUUUGCUCUCUACUGUUACGAGCCCCACACUGCUAAAUCAGCAGAUAUGCAGAACACUUGAAUCCAACAUUCAUGCUCCGCAUCCCCAAGUAAAUGUUUCCGAGGAAUGUUCUACUUCUUAGGCCCCACGAAUUUGAUUAUG